GUGAGGAAUAUUGGUCAAUGGGCGAGAGCCUGAACCAGCCAAGUCGCGUGAAGGAAGAAGGAUCUAUGGUUCGUAAACUUCUUUUGCAGGGGAAUAAAGUGCGGGACGUGUCCUGUUUUGUAUGUACCCUGAGAAUAAGGAUCGGCUAACUCCGUGCCAGCAGCCGCGGUAAUACGGAGGAUCCGAGCGUUAUCCGGAUGUAUUGGGUUUAAAGGGUGCGUAGGUGGUUUGAUAAGUCAGCGGUGAAAGUUUGCAGCUUAACUGUAAAAAUGCCGUUGAAACUGUCGGACUUGAGUGUAAAUGAGGUAGGCGGAAUGCGUGGUGUAGCGGUGAAAUGCAUAGAUAUCACGCAGAACUCCGAUUGCGAAGGCAGCUUACUAAGCUACAACUGACACUGAAGCACGAAAGCGUGGGGAUCAAACAGGAUUAGAAACCCCAGUAGUCC
This 445-nucleotide ribosomal RNA is filed under the name uncultured bacterium. RNAcentral's name for it is "partial 16S ribosomal RNA". It matches the Rfam family "Bacterial small subunit ribosomal RNA", at positions 354 to 796 of the family's 1533-position model. The record is from RNAcentral.